Molecule: non-coding RNA, 113 nt
Organism: Acanthosepion pharaonis
Lineage: Eukaryota; Metazoa; Mollusca; Cephalopoda; Sepiida; Sepiidae
Source: the annotation of a GenBank genome assembly
UUACGGCCACAUCACGUCGAAACAUUGGUUUCCAUACAAACACCGAAGUUAAGCAACGUCGAAUUUGGUGAGUACCUAGAUGGGUGACUGCUUGGGAAUACCAGGUGCUGUAA